AAAUAAGUUCCAUCCUCUUCUGCAUAUGGUCUCUGUCUACUCUUACUGAGUCAUACUCACAAGUCACAGUCUAGUGCUUUCCAUUGGGACAGUAGCUCCAGAAAGUUAGCUAUCAUGGAUAUAUCUCAUGGAAUGUAUGGUCUCUGUCCAAUGAGAAAACUCUGCAAGGAUCACAAUUACACGUAGCCCGUCCCACACGAAUGGUGGAAGUCUUGCUUUACUGGAGCUUUUCUUCCUGGCCAUUGCCGUAUUUGAAUGGCUUGAAGAAAUAUGACUUGCAGCAAAUCCGUCACUAAACUAUUUCUGAGCCACUUGUUUUUGUUUUGCUUUGGUUGUUCUCGCUAUAAAUCCUGGCAGUGUUCCUGCCUGUUCUCUCAAAAAGAUAAGAACGUACACUGUUGUGUUUGGACUUAGACCAAUGGUUUUGAUCAGUUGGGUGCUACUACUCUUACCUGCAGUGCUCUAUUCACUAGCCACCUCUGUCGUCCACGGUGACGCGCCCUUGCGUCAUGGCAGGAUGGCACUGACUGUUGCCUUUGGGAAGGUGUUGGCUGCUGCAACUCCUCGGGCCAUGUCACCGCUCUAGAACUCAGUGGGCGUGGCUUGUACAGUCAAGGCCUUAACCCUUCGAUCUUCAACCUCACCUCACUCCAACGACUCGACCUUAGCAUGAAUUAUUUUGGCCAGUACAGUCUCCCAGCUAAUGGGUUUGAGAGGCUCCCCUUGCCCACCCAUCUCAAUCUCUCCAAGUCAGGGUUUCAAGGCCAGAUACCUAUUGGUAUCGGCAAACUUUCCAACCUUAUCUCCUUGGAUCUUUCAGUUCUUUGCUAUGCCUCUCAGGAGGACUCUCUUGAUGGCUAUGUUACCAGCAUCCCUGGCGUUACUAAUUGGCUGUGGCUGUAGGAACCGAACUUUCAGAACCUAGUUGGCAACCUCAACAAUCUGACAGAGCUCUACCUUGAUGGAGUUGAUAUGUCUAGCAGCGCAGAUGAUUGGUGCAAUGCUCUUGCUAAGUCUCUUCCAAAGCUCCGAAUUCUUAGCUUGAGUUAUUGUAAUCUCGCUGUUUCUAUUUGUCCGUCCCUCUCAACCCUGCACUCCCUAACUGUGAUCAACCUCCAAGAUAACUUUGACACGUCUGCCACUCUUCCUCAAGAGUUGCUCAUAAAUUUUCUCCAUUCAAGUGUUCUUCAGCUUGCUUGGAAAAAUCUCCAAGGGUUGUUCCCAAGUAGAAUCUUCGGAUCGAAUACUCUAAGGGGGCACGAUUUAUCCGGGGCAUGAUCUGUCAGGUUAUGUGCCAACUUUGUCCAUCUGCUAGCUAUGAUGAUGGAUUUAUUUUGAGCUGGAUUGUCGAAGGAAAAUGCGCAUAACCAGAGCAUUUAACUGCAGCUUCUUUGGAUGAGUGCCAGCAGUGAGGAGAAUUCAGAAUGGGUAAUAGCUUUGUGUACCUUUUCUACUAGGAUUCUAGCUUUCGCAGUGUAAUCUAAUUUUAGAGCCUACCAUACCAUGCUGUUUGUUUUUUGGAGAAGUGGAGCGGUUCGAGCUUGCUACCUUUAUUUUGCAUUGCGAGGCUUUUGUAAGUCUACGGUGUAUUUCUCAAUAAAAAUCUGAGCAAAA
Molecule: long non-coding RNA, 1614 nt
Organism: Lolium perenne
Lineage: Eukaryota; Viridiplantae; Streptophyta; Magnoliopsida; Poales; Poaceae
Source: RefSeq, a predicted model, not a curated record